RNAcentral lists this ribosomal RNA (828 nucleotides) under uncultured bacterium. RNAcentral's name for it is "bacterial SSU rRNA". It matches the Rfam family "Bacterial small subunit ribosomal RNA", at positions 545 to 1351 of the family's 1533-position model. The record is from RNAcentral.
UCGGAUUUACUGGGCGUAAAGGGCGCGCAGGCGGGCGCCGGAAGUCUUGGGUGAAAGCUCCCGGCUCAACCGGGAGAGUGCCUGAGAAACCACGGUGCUCGAGUGCCGGAGAGGGAAGCGGAAUUCCUGGUGUAGCGGUGAAAUGCGUAGAUAUCAGGAGGAACACCGGGGGCGAAGGCGGCUUCCUGGACGGACACUGACGCUGAGGCGCGAAAGCUAGGGGAGCAAACAGGAUUAGAUACCCUGGUAGUCCUAGCCGUAAACGAUGGGUACUUGGUGUGGGGGGGUAUCGAGUCCCUCCGUGCCGGCGAUAACUCGUUAAGUACCCCGCCUGGGGAGUACGGUCGCAAGGCUGAAAACUCAAAGGAAUUGGCGGGGACCCGCACAAGGGGUUGGAAGCAUGUGGUUUAUUUCGACGCAACGCGAAGAAACCUGACCGGGGGUUUGAACGGCUGCGGCGAAUUCCCAGAGAUGGGGAAGUUCCCUUAGGGGGACCGCAGAAAGAAGGUUGCUGCAUGGCUGUCGUCAGCUCGUGUCGUGAGAAUGUUUGGGUUAAAGUCCCCGCAACGAGCGCAACCCCUUGUCUUGUAGUUGCCAUCAGGUCAAGCUGGGCACCCUACGGAGACUGUCGGCGAAAAGCCGGAGGAAGGUGGGGAUGACGUCAAGUCCUCAUGGCCUUUAUGUCCCGGGCUACACACGUGCUACAAUGGGCGGUACAAUGGGCAGCCAACCGGCGACGGUGAGCGAAUCCCAAAAAGCCGCUCUCAGUUCGGAUUGCAGUCUGCAACUCGACUGCAUGAAGUCGGAAUCGCUAGUAAUCGCGGAUCA